This 468-nucleotide ribosomal RNA is filed under the name uncultured bacterium. RNAcentral's name for it is "partial 16S ribosomal RNA". It matches the Rfam family "Bacterial small subunit ribosomal RNA", at positions 28 to 507 of the family's 1533-position model. The record is from RNAcentral.
GACGAACGCUGGCGGCGUGCUUAACACAUGCAAGUCGAACGGAAAGGCCCUGCUUUUGUGGGGUGCUCGAGUGGCGAACGGGUGAGUAACACGUGAGUAACCUGCCCUUGACUUUGGGAUAACUUCAGGAAACUGGGGCUAAUACCGGAUAGGAGCUCCUGCUGCAUGGUGGGGGUUGGAAAGUUUCGGCGGUUGGGGAUGGACUCGCGGCUUAUCAGCUUGUUGGUGGGGUAGUGGCUUACCAAGGCUUUGAUGGGUAGCCGGCCUGAGAGGGUGACCGGCCACAUUGGGACUGAGGUAGGGCCCAGACUCCUACGGGAGACAGCAGUGGGGAAUAUUGCACAAUGGGCGGAAGCCUGAUGCAGCAACGCCGCGUGCGGGAUGACGGCCUUCGGGUUGUAAACCGCUUUCGCCUGUGACGAAGCGUGAGUGACGGUAAUGGGUAAAGAAGCACCGGCUAACUACGUG